Molecule: ribosomal RNA, 640 nt
Filed under: uncultured bacterium
Lineage: Bacteria
Description: bacterial SSU rRNA
Rfam family: Bacterial small subunit ribosomal RNA (bases 1-539)
Source: RNAcentral
CCUACGGGAGGCAGCAGUGGGGAAUAUUGGACAAUGGGCGAAAGCCUGAUCCAGCAAUUCCGCGUGUGUGAAGAAGGCCUUCGGGUUGUAAAGCACUUUAGUGGGGGAAGAAACAGCUUGGCCACACCAAGCCUUGACGGUACCCCAAGAAUAAGCACCGGCUAACUCUGUGCCAGCAGCCGCGGUAAUACAGAGGGUGCAAGCGUUAAUCGGAUUUACUGGGCGUAAAGGGUGCGUAGGUGGCUAUUUAAGUCGGAUGUGAAAGCCCGGGGCUCAACCUCGGAAUUGCAUUCGAUACUGAGUGGCUAGAGUUCGGUAGAGGGCGGCGGAAUUUCCGGUGUAGCGGUGAAAUGCGUAGAUAUCGGAAGGAACAUCAAUGGCGAAGGCAGCCGCCUGGGCCUGGACUGACACUGAGGCACGAAAGCGUGGGUAGCAAACAGGAUUAGAUACCCUGGUAGUCCACGCCGUAAACGAUGAGAACUUGACGUUGGUUCGUUUUACGAAUCGGUGUCGCNGCUACGACGAUAAGUUACUCCGUCCGUCGGGGUAGGGUACGGGCCGGCCGACGGUUAGGUAAACGUUAAAACGGUAAGUUAGUACGGCGUGAGACGUGCCGACGGACGACGACGAGGGAGGUAGG